AACCAUUGUUCUGUUUCACCAAUCUUACGUAACAUUUCCUUCCCCAACUUUGCACUCUCGAAUCCCCUCGGCGACUCUUCGAAGUCUCUGUCACCAAAAACAACGUGAAAGAAAAAAAAGCGAACAUCACACACACGCAACAACAAACACAAACAGGAACGUUAACAACAACAAAGAAGAACAAUUUCGCAAACCUUAAAAAAAUCUUGUUUGGUUUCACACCCACACAACACAAAAGGGAGAGAUUCAGAGAAUUGCAUUGAAUUCAUUUUCGUAAAACAUAACAGAACAUGUCUAAUCAUCAUCGUUCCUCCAAUCCCUUCUCAUCUACUCACUCUGAUUCCGAUUCCGACUCAGUGAGUUGCUUCGUCACCGAUCUCUUCGAGACUCGCUCUCGCCUCUGCUCCUGCGACGACGACACUGACAUAAACCCCUUCUCUGACGUCGUUUGCGACCUCCAUCGCACGGACCAUAUGUUAGGGUUAGGGUUAGGGUUUGGCGUUGAAAUUGAUCCCGAAAGCCAAACAAAUGAUCGUGAUAAUCAUCGUGGUGAUAGGGUUUUGGAAGCUGAUAGAGUUUUCAAUUUCACGGUGGGGGAUGGUUCGGGUGGGCUUAGGGUUGUAGGGUUUGGCUCGGAAUCCGAAUCGAGUAGCGAGGAGGGUGGGAUUCGUGAUGGUGGCGGGUUUGAUGAUUUCGAUGUUCGGUUGUGUUGGGAUAGUCUCUGUUUGGAGGAUCAGAGGACGCUGAACGAGGGGUUUGAGUGGGAGGAGGUGGAGGAGAGGGUGAAUGAGAGAGAGGAUUUGGGUUUGGUGGUUGAUGAGGUUGAAAUUGAAAGUGAUGAUGGUGAUGGGAAUUCGGUGGCGUCGGGUUUUACAAAUGCCGUUGAGGAGGAGGAUGCCGGGGAAGAGGCACUGAGGUACCUCGAAUGGGAGAUCCUCUUGGCGGUUAACAAUUUGGAGAGGAAUGUGAAUGAUGUGUUGGAGCACGAGGGCAAUGCUGUUGGUGGUGCUGAUUUGUUAACAAUUCAGGAUGGUUAUGUGUACGCAGCCGAGUAUGAUGUUUUGUUCGGGCAGUUUCUUGAGAAUGAGAGUGCCUUGAAGGGGAGCCCUCCGGCCUCGAAGAGUGUUGUGGAGAGUCUCCCGUUGGUGGAGUUGUCCAAGGAGGAGUUGUUGCAGGGGAAGAACGUGGCAUGUGCCAUUUGCAAGGAUGAGGUUUUGUUGGAGGAGAAGGUGAGAAGGCUGCCUUGCUCCCAUUGUUAUCAUGGGGACUGCAUUUUGCCGUGGUUGGACAUUCGCAACACGUGCCCAGUUUGCCGGUUUGAGCUACCCACUGAUGAUCCGGACUAUGAGCAGGGGAAGGUCCAGAGGGCAGCACAUGGUCUGUUGGAGCUUGCGGCAGCACGGAUGCAAUUUUGACUUGUCUGUUGUUGCUUCAGAAUUGGGUGGCAGUGUGGAGCAGUCAACUCCAGAACCAUUUUAGGGAGAUAGCGGAUAAUAGGAUGACCAAUAUAUAUUCAGUGUAAAUCAGUCUUUGAAUUGGUUUUGAAAUUUGAACUGUAUCUAAUGAAAAAGGUGGGAAUUGCAAAACUAUCCCCCAAAAAAUGGAUGGAUGACGUUAUCUGGAGCAAAGGUCUUUUAACUAUAUCGUCAAUUUCAGCUGCAACAACUGCAAAUUGACACAAUUUGGGGCAUGAAGCAGGCACUCCACAAAAACAGGACACAACAGCUUCCCUGCAGCAGCCUGAUGCUGCGAUGAAACGCUGUCACAGCUGUGCUGUUAUCUCAUUCUUGUGGAAUGGAAAUGCCAUAUUUUAUUGUGGCUUCUGAAGCAUCAUUCUUUUCUUUCUGUAGUCGAGUUAUUUAUGCUAUUAUCUCACCCUUUUUUCAUGUCUGUUUUUCUUUUACACGCUUUAUGUUUUGGCAUGGACAGGAAUUUUUUUUUCUUAUAUAAACUAUUCAUCCUUUCGUUGUCUUCUUCAGUAAUAUGCAUUUGGGUAAUAAUUUUUUCUUUCUUGUCUCUUAUUAUUAUAUCUUUUGUGCACUCAACAUUUUAGUGAGGUCAUAUUAACACUUGACAUCCAAAAUUAUUUCAUUACUUGGCCUUAAUCUUAUGGUAUGUUUGGUUCAGCUUAAGUUUAGAGAAAUAACCGUGUAUUUUUUAAAAGCUCUCUCAGGGAGCUGAAAAAUAAGCAAUUAUUUUACCAAAAUAAACUGAGGCAAGCAUCGUACUUAGUUGAGUUGACUAGUACUACUCAGCUUUAUAUGAAGCUUCUUAUCAUAUUUUGAGUAUUGGGUAAUGGGUAUAUAUAGUUGGACACACAAUUUGUUAUAGAUGUAAAGCAUGAGAUCACCAUCAUAGAUGUGUUAUGUGCUUAAGUCCUUUUAUAUUAAGCUUAUGUUAGUAACUAGUUAGCUAGUUUACUUGGUCGAAGAAAUACAAGGGUUUAUGCUAGAAAGAAGGGGAAUGGGCCUGCAGCUAAUUAGACUCAUUAUAAGGGUGGGUUUCAAUUAUAAACUGUAGACAAGUAGCUGCCUAUAAAUAGGAAUAACUGUAAACAGUUUAAGGGACUUUUGGUGAUUGAGAAAGCAGUGUAAGUAGUGGAUCCAGACCUGUUGAAAUAUCUGGAGCCGUGCAUUGGUUCCUUGGGGGCUUUUUCCCAAGUUUUAUUCAAUAAAAACCAGUUCUUUCUCACGGUUAUGUUACUAGUUCCAUCACACUCCCUGUUGCUCAUAUCAAUCAUUGUUUUCCUAGUGUUCUCAGCAACAGAGAAAAUCCUUUGCAGUUUCUGUACAUCCUCAGACUGUCUGAUCUCAUGGAUAUUUUCCCUAGAGAACUUAGCUUUGUGGUACUGCCAUUAUUUGGUUAUAUUUUAAUUUGUGUCAGGUUGUCAGCAUUCUUCUCAAUUCUCAAAAAGGCUCUUUUUAUUCUUUCAUUUUCAAACAUUUUAUUUUUCAACCUAAUUUCUCUAAAGUUUUGUUCUGAUUUUCCAUAGUGUUUUCAUCUUAUUGGGCUGGGAAAAUCAUGAGAUCGAUCCUUAGAAGAGGAAGCAAAAGCAGCAGCAGCACAUGCAAUUCUAGUGGAGACAAUGAAUAUGUAAUGCAUCUUGGAUAGCGAACAUCUUUGUGAUUCAAGAACGUAAAAAACUAUCAAUUGUUGCAAUUCUUCAUUAAUUGUUGUCACAAGUGGCUGACAUACAAAUGAUAAGGUGUUUUUUAGGCUUUUAUCAAAACCUGACAACAUUCAUACUUCACCAGCAGAAUUGAGCAUUGAUGCGUUAAAAGUUUUGUUGUUUUUCGAUGUUUAAAUUAAUUAAUGCAUAAUCUUGUGCUGAUCUCCAUGUUCAAAUA
RNA transcript from Glycine soja, 3347 nucleotides. It is a transcript of the gene named E3 ubiquitin-protein ligase CIP8-like, with no coding region annotated. The record is from RefSeq and is a predicted model, not a curated record. The transcript is spliced from 3 exons. Lineage: Eukaryota; Viridiplantae; Streptophyta; Magnoliopsida; Fabales; Fabaceae.